Molecule: ribosomal RNA, 370 nt
Filed under: uncultured bacterium
Lineage: Bacteria
Description: bacterial SSU rRNA
Rfam family: Bacterial small subunit ribosomal RNA
Source: RNAcentral
GUAGGGGGCAAGCGUUAUCCGGAUUUACUGGGUGUAAAGGGAGCGUAGACGGCACGGCAAGCCAGAUGUGAAAGCCCGGGGCUCAACCCCGGGACUGCAUUCGGAACUGCUGAGCUAGAGUGUCGGAGAGGCAAGUGGAAUUCCUAGUGUAGCGGUGAAAUGCGUAGAUAUUAGGAGGAACACCAGUGGCGAAGGCGGCUUGCUGGACGAUGACUGACGUUGAGGCUCGAAAGCGUGGGGAGCAAACAGGAUUAGAUACCCUGGUAGUCCACGCCGUAAACGAUGACUGCUAGGUGUCGGGUGGCAAAGCCAUUCGGUGCCGCAGCUAACGCAAUAAGCAGUCCACCUGGGGAGUACGUUCGCAAGAAUG